Molecule: transfer RNA, 73 nt
Filed under: Ailuropoda melanoleuca (giant panda)
Lineage: Eukaryota; Metazoa; Chordata; Mammalia; Carnivora; Ursidae
Rfam family: tRNA
About the family: Transfer RNA (tRNA) molecules are approximately 80 nucleotides in length.
Source: Rfam by way of RNAcentral
ACCUGGCUGGCUCAGUCAGUGGAGCACAUGACUCUUGAUCUUGAGGUCAUGAGUUCAAACCCCAUGCUGAGCA